GUUGGGUAGGGGAGCGUUCUGUAAGCCUGUGAAGGUGGCCUGUGAGGGUUGCUGGAGGUAUCAGAAGUGCGAAUGCUGACAUAAGUAACGAUAAAGCGGGUGAAAAGCCCGCUCGCCGGAAGACCAAGGGUUCCUGUCCAACGUUAAUCGGGGCAGGGUGAGUCGACCCCUAAGGCGAGGCCGAAAGGCGUAGUCGAUGGGAAACGGGUUAAUAUUCCCGUACUUGGUGUUACUGCGAAGGGGGGACGGAGAAGGCUAUGUUGGCCGGGCGACGGUUGUCCCGGUUUAAGCGUGUAGGUGUGUGUUCCAGGUAAAUCCGGUUCACUUUAACACUGAGGCGUGACGACGAGGCACUACGGUGCUGAAGCAACAAAUGCCCUGCUUCCAGGAAAAGCCUCUAAGCAUCAGGUAACAUCAAAUCGUACCCCAAACCGACACAGGUGGUCAGGUAGAGAAUACCAAGGCGCUUGAGAGAACUCGGGUGAAGGAACUAGGCAAAAUGGUGCCGUAACUUCGGGAGAAGGCACGCUGACACGUAGGUGAAGUGAUUUACUCAUGGAGCUGAAGUCAGUCGAAGAUACCAGCUGGCUGCAACUGUUUAUUAAAAACACAGCACUGUGCAAACACGAAAGUGGACGUAUACGGUGUGACGCCUGCCCGGUGCCGGAAGGUUAAUUGAUGGGGUCAGCGCAAGCGAAGCUCCUGAUCGAAGCCCCGGUAAACGGCGGCCGUAACUAUAACGGUCCUAAGGUAGCGAAAUUCCUUGUCGGGUAAGUUCCGACCUGCACGAAUGGCGUAAUGAUGGCCAGGCUGUCUCCACCCGAGACUCAGUGAAAUUGAACUCGCUGUGAAGAUGCAGUGUACCCGCGGCAAGACGGAAAGACCCCGUGAACCUUUACUAUAGCUUGACACUGAACAUUGAGCCUUGAUGUGUAGGAUAGGUGGGAGGCUUUGAAGCGUGGACGCCAGUCUGCGUGGAGCCAACCUUGAAAUACCACCCUUUAAUGUUUGAUGUUCUAACGUGGACCCGUAAUCCGGGUUGCGGACAGUGUCUGGUGGGUAGUUUGACUGGGGCGGUCUCCUCCUAAAGAGUAACGGAGGAGCACGAAGGUUGGCUAAUCCUGGUCGGACAUCAGGAGGUUAGUGCAAUGGCAUAAGCCAGCUUGACUGCGAGCGUGACGGCGCGAGCAGGUGCGAAAGCAGGUCAUAGUGAUCCGGUGGUUCUGAAUGGAAGGGCCAUCGCUCAACGGAUAAAAGGUACUCCGGGGAUAACAGGCUGAUACCGCCCAAGAGUUCAUAUCGACGGCGGUGUUUGGCACCUCGAUGUCGGCUCAUCACAUCCUGGGGCUGAAGUAGGUCCCAAGGGUAUGGCUGUUCGCCAUUUAAAGUGGUACGCGAGCUGGGUUUAGAACGUCGUGAGACAGUUCGGUCCCUAUCUGCCGUGGGCGCUGGAGAACUGAGGGGGGCUGCUCCUAGUACGAGAGGACCGGAGUGGACGCAUCACUGGUGUUCGGGUUGUCAUGCCAAUGGCACUGCCCGGUAGCUAAAUGCGGAAGAGAUAAGUGCUGAAAGCAUCUAAGCACGAAACUUGCCCCGAGAUGAGUUCUCCCUGAGACUUAGAGUCUCCUGAAGGAACGUUGAAGACGACGACGUUGAUAGGCCGGGUGUGUAAGCGCAGCGAUGCGUUGAGCUAACCGGUACUAAUGAACCGUGAGGCUUAACCUUACAACGCCGAAG
Molecule: ribosomal RNA, 1737 nt
Filed under: Salmonella enterica subsp. enterica serovar Muenchen
Lineage: Bacteria; Pseudomonadati; Pseudomonadota; Gammaproteobacteria; Enterobacterales; Enterobacteriaceae
Description: partial 23S ribosomal RNA
Rfam family: Bacterial large subunit ribosomal RNA
Source: RNAcentral